UACAGAGGGUGCAAGCGUUGCUCGGAAUCACUGGGCGUAAAGCGCACGUAGGCGGCUUGUUAAGUCAGGGGUGAAAUCCUGGAGCUCAACUCCAGAACUGCCUUUGAUACUGGCGAGCUUGAGUUCGGGAGAGGUGAGUGGAACUGCGAGUGUAGAGGUGAAAUUCGUAGAUAUUCGCAAGAACACCAGUGGCGAAGGCGGCUCACUGGCCCGAUACUGACGCUGAGGUGCGAAAGCGUGGGGAGCAAACAGG
RNAcentral lists this ribosomal RNA (253 nucleotides) under uncultured bacterium. Its description in RNAcentral is "partial 16S ribosomal RNA". It matches the Rfam family "Bacterial small subunit ribosomal RNA", at positions 524 to 776 of the family's 1533-position model. The record is from RNAcentral.